UGAAGGAGGAGAUAUAGUAGACUCCCUAAAGGCCGGUAUAGGUAAAACCUCAGAUAUAUCAAGAUGGUCAGGAUGGUCAGAAGAGGUAAAGAAAGAUUUAGACUCAAAAAAUGUGACAUCGGCUGACAUACGGUACCUACGAAGAUCAGGUGAAUAACAACGAUAGCCGUUCUGAGCACGAGAAUAACCAAGGAAGACAUACUUAAGAGCACGAGGAGCUAACAUAUCUUUCCCAGGAACUAAGUUAUGAACGAAACAAGUGCUCCCAAAAACACGAGAGGAAACAGGGUAUAAGGGUGACUGGGGAAACAAUACCUCAUGCGGAAUCUGAUUCUGGAUGGG
Molecule: long non-coding RNA, 342 nt
Filed under: Nicotiana benthamiana
Lineage: Eukaryota; Viridiplantae; Streptophyta; Magnoliopsida; Solanales; Solanaceae
Description: long non-coding RNA (NBEN_LNC036782)
Source: RNAcentral